Molecule: ribosomal RNA, 490 nt
Filed under: Bacillus pumilus
Lineage: Bacteria; Bacillati; Bacillota; Bacilli; Caryophanales; Bacillaceae
Description: bacterial SSU rRNA
Rfam family: Bacterial small subunit ribosomal RNA
Source: RNAcentral
UCAGGACGAACGCUGGCGGCGUGCCUAAUACAUGCAAGUCGAGCGGACAGAAGGGAGCUUGCUCCCGGAUGUUAGCGGCGGACGGGUGAGUAACACGUGGGUAACCUGCCUGUAAGACUGGGAUAACUCCGGGAAACCGGAGCUAAUACCGGAUAGUUCCUUGAACCGCAUGGUUCAAGGAUGAAAGACGGUUUCGGCUGUCACUUACAGAUGGACCCGCGGCGCAUUAGCUAGUUGGUGGGGUAAUGGCUCACCAAGGCGACGAUGCGUAGCCGACCUGAGAGGGUGAUCGGCCACACUGGGACUGAGACACGGCCCAGACUCCUACGGGAGGCAGCAGUAGGGAAUCUUCCGCAAUGGACGAAAGUCUGACGGAGCAACGCCGCGUGAGUGAUGAAGGUUUUCGGAUCGUAAAGCUCUGUUGUUAGGGAAGAACAAGUGCGAGAGUAACUGCUCGCACCUUGACGGUACCUAACCAGAAAGCCACGGC